This 508-nucleotide ribosomal RNA is filed under the name uncultured bacterium. RNAcentral describes it as "partial 16S ribosomal RNA". It matches the Rfam family "Bacterial small subunit ribosomal RNA", at positions 28 to 507 of the family's 1533-position model. The record is from RNAcentral.
GACGAACGCUGGCGGCGUGCCUAAUACAUGCAAGUCGAACGCUUCUUUCCUCCCGAGUGCUUGCACUCCAUUGGAAAGAGGAGUGGCGGACGGGUGAGUAACACGUGGGUAACCUACCCAUCAGAGGGGGAUAACACUUGGAAACAGGUGCUAAUACCGCAUAACAGUUUAUGCCGCAUGGCAUAAGAGUGAAAGGCGCUUUCGGGUGUCGCUGAUGGAUGGACCUGCGGUGCAUUAGCUAGUUGGUGAGGUAACGGCUCACCAAGGCCACGAUGCAUAGCCGACCUGAGAGGGUGAUCGGCCACACUGGGACUGAGACACGGCCCAGACUCCUACGGGAGGCAGCAGUAGGGAAUCUUCGGCAAUGGACGAAAGUCUGACCGAGCAACGCCGCGUGAGUGAAGAAGGUUUUCGGAUCGUAAAACUCUGUUGUUAGAGAAGAACAAGGACGUUAGUAACUGAACGUCCCCUGACGGUAUCUAACCAGAAAGCCACGGCUAACUACGUG